AAGUCGAGCGAGCGGAACAACAGAUUUACUUCGGUAAUGACGUUGGGAAAGCGAGCGGCGGAUGGGUGAGUAACACGUGGGGAACCUGCCCCUAAGUCUGGGAUACCAUUUGGAAACAGGUGCUAAUACCGGAUAAUAAAGCAGAUCGCAUGAUCAGCUUUUGAAAGACGGCGUAAGCUGUCGCUAAGGGAUGGCCCCGCGGUGCAUUAGCUAGUUGGUAAGGUAACGGCUUACCAAGGCAACGAUGCAUAGCCGAGUUGAGAGACUGAUCGGCCACAUUGGGACUGAGACACGGCCCAAACUCCUACGGGAGGCAGCAGUAGGGAAUCUUCCACAAUGGACGCAAGUCUGAUGGAGCAACGCCGCGUGAGUGAAGAAGGUUUUCGGAUCGUAAAGCUCUGUUGUUGGUGAAGAAGGAUAGAGGUAGUAACUGGCCUUUAUUUGACGGUAAUCAACCAGAAAGUCACGGCUAACUACGUGCCAGCAGCCGCGGUAAUACGUAGGUGGCAAGCGUUGUCCGGAUUUAUUGGGCGUAAAGCGAGCGCAGGCGGAAAAAUAAGUCUAAUGUGAAAGCCCUCGGCUUAACCGAGGAACUGCAUCGGAAACUGUUUUUCUUGAGUGCAGAAGAGGAGAGUGGAACUCCAUGUGUAGCGGUGGAAUGCGUAGAUAUAUGGAA
This 676-nucleotide ribosomal RNA is filed under the name Lactobacillus amylovorus. RNAcentral's name for it is "bacterial SSU rRNA". It matches the Rfam family "Bacterial small subunit ribosomal RNA", at positions 59 to 703 of the family's 1533-position model. The record is from RNAcentral. Lineage: Bacteria; Bacillati; Bacillota; Bacilli; Lactobacillales; Lactobacillaceae.